GACGAACGCUGGCGGCGUGCCUAAUACAUGCAAGUCGAACGCAGUGGGGACGGGUGAGUAACACGUGGGUAACCUCCCAUCAGAGGGGAUAACACUUGGCAACAGCCGCUAACCUGAUACUGAUGGAUGGACCCGCGGUGCAUUAGCUAGUUGGUGAGGUAACGGCCCACCAAGGCCACGAUGCAUAGCCGACCUGAGAGGGGUAUCUGCCACACUGGGACUGAGACACGGCCCAGACUCCUACGGGAGGCAGCAGUAGGGAAUAUUCGGCAAUGGGCGAAAGUCUGACCGAGCAACGCCGCGUGAGUGAAGAAGGUUUGCGGAUCGUAAAGCUCUGUUGUUAGAGAAGCGGUAUCUAACCAGAAAGCCACGGCUAACUACGUGCCAGCAGCCGCGGUAAUAC
Molecule: ribosomal RNA, 403 nt
Filed under: uncultured bacterium
Lineage: Bacteria
Description: partial 16S ribosomal RNA
Rfam family: Bacterial small subunit ribosomal RNA
Source: RNAcentral